GGCAAGCUGGGUUACCGGGGCCACUUAGGGAAAGGAAACACAGAAACCUGGCAUGCAGGCCAAAGGGUAAAGACCUUCACAAUCGGGAACCCGUAGAUUGGAUCUUCUGAAAACAUCAGAGAAAGACUAUCUUUGCCAUCCACACUACAGUAAAACUUUGGAGCCUUGAACCUUGGAUUUAUAAUCUCACAACUGAGAAGGGUCCCUCCAUACUCCUGGAACUGUACACCCAUUGGAACUCUUAAGGAUGAUAUACAUGGCCAGGUGAAGACAGUAGAGAGAAAACAGAACUGAAAACUCCACACUCUUAAAAGGAGAGAGAAGCAAAGAAGGACAGUCAAUCAAUGCCAGCAUUGGUCAUUUUCUGCACCUUGUGAGGACUGACCAGGAUGAUAUAUGCACAUUUUUUUAUUUCAGUCAUCUUCCACCUGCCCAAGGAGGCAUUUUAUCUAGUACUCAAAGAUCCUGAAACUAGUGUGACACCCUGUUAAGAUCCCUUUACCAGCUAACACUUAAUAUAGGUUCACAACUAGUAACCUAGCCAGGCCUGUGUGAACACAUUAGUUUUAAAUCCAAUGGUUUGUCUAUGUAACUGUAUUAGGGUUCUCUAAAGGGACAGAACUAAUAGGAUAGGUUAAUAUAUGAAAGUUUAUUAAGAGUUUAUUAAGGAGUAUUGACUCACAUGAUCAUAAGGUGAAGUCCCACAAUAGGCUGUCUGCAAGCUGAGGAGCCAGGAAGCAAUUCCAAGUCCCAAAACUUUAAAAGUAGGGAAGCUGAUAGUGCAGCCUUCAGCCUGUGGCCAAAGGCCUCAGAGCCCCUGGCAAAUCAGUGAUGUAAGUCCAAGAGUCCAAAAGCUGAAGAACUUGGGAGUCCGAUGUUUGAGGGCAGGAAGCAUCCAGCACAGGGGAAAGAUGGAGGCCAGAAGAUUCUGCCAGUUU
This 938-nucleotide long non-coding RNA is filed under the name Homo sapiens (human). RNAcentral describes it as "HSALNT0370122". Lineage: Eukaryota; Metazoa; Chordata; Mammalia; Primates; Hominidae. The record is from RNAcentral.